This 492-nucleotide unclassified non-coding RNA is filed under the name Russula sp. 15 CG-2012. Its description in RNAcentral is "sequence contains ITS1, 5.8S rRNA gene, ITS2". The stretch from base 167 to 320 matches the Rfam family "5.8S ribosomal RNA". Lineage: Eukaryota; Fungi; Basidiomycota; Agaricomycetes; Russulales; Russulaceae. The record is from RNAcentral.
CGUGCACGCCGGAAGGGCGUCCUCUUACGUGAAAUCCACCUCACCCCUUUUGUGCACCACCGCGUGGGCUUCCUCCUCGAGGGGGCUCGCGUUUUUCACACAAACGCCCUUUGUAAACGUCUUGUAGAAUGUCCUCAUUUUGUUUGCGUUGACGCGCGAUCAAUACAACUUUCAACAACGGAUCUCUUGGCUCUCGCAUCGAUGAAGAACGCAGCGAAAUGCGAUACGUAAUGUGAAUUGCAGAAUUCAGUGAAUCAUCGAAUCUUUGAACGCACCUUGCGCCCCUUGGUAUUCCGAGGGGCACACCCGUUUGAGUGUCGUGAAAAUCUCAACCUCCUUGGUUUCUUUUGAACGCCAAAGGAGGCUUGGACUUUGGAGGGCUUUGCUGGACUUGUAAAAGGGCCAGCUCCUCUCAAAUGAAUUAGCGAGGUCCCCUUUGCCGAUCCUCGACGUGUGAUAAGUUGCUUCCACGUCUCGAUCUUUGGCUCUGUC